This 484-nucleotide ribosomal RNA is filed under the name uncultured bacterium. RNAcentral describes it as "partial 16S ribosomal RNA". It matches the Rfam family "Bacterial small subunit ribosomal RNA", at positions 30 to 507 of the family's 1533-position model. The record is from RNAcentral.
AUUGAACGCUAGCGGGAUGCUUUACACAUGCAAGUCGAACGGCAGCGCGGACUUCGGUCUGGCGGCGAGUGGCGAACGGGUGAGUAAUGUAUCGGAACGUGCCCAGUAGCGGGGGAUAACUACGCGAAAGCGUAGCUAAUACCGCAUACGCCCUACGGGGGAAAGCAGGGGAUCGUAAGACCUUGCACUAUUGGAGCGGCCGAUAUCGGAUUAGCUAGUUGGUGAGGUAACGGCUCACCAAGGCGACGAUCCGUAGCUGGUUUGAGAGGACGACCAGCCACACUGGGACUGAGACACGGCCCAGACUCCUACGGGAGGCAGCAGUGGGGAAUUUUGGACAAUGGGGGCAACCCUGAUCCAGCCAUCCCGCGUGUGCGAUGAAGGCCUUCGGGUUGUAAAGCACUUUUGGCAGGAAUGAAACGUCGCGGGCUAAUACCCCGUGGAACUGACGGUACCUGCAGAAUAAGCACCGGCUAACUACGUG